RNAcentral lists this ribosomal RNA (497 nucleotides) under uncultured bacterium. RNAcentral describes it as "partial 16S ribosomal RNA". It matches the Rfam family "Bacterial small subunit ribosomal RNA", at positions 28 to 507 of the family's 1533-position model. The record is from RNAcentral.
GAUGAACGCUGGCGGCGUGCCUAAUACAUGCAAGUCGAGCGAACGGACGAGAAGCUUGCUUCUCUGAUGUUAGCGGCGGACGGGUGAGUAACACGUGGAUAACCUACCUAUAAGACUGGGAUAACUUCGGGAAACCGGAGCUAAUACCGGAUAAUAUUUUGAACCGCAUGGUUCAAAAGUGAAAGACGGUCUUGCUGUCACUUAUAGAUGGAUCUGCGCUGCAUUAGCUAGUUGGUAAGGUAACGGCUUACCAAGGCAACGAUGCAUAGCCGACCUGAGAGGGUGAUCGGCCACACUGGAACUGAGACGCGGUCCAGACUCCUACGGGAGGCAGCAGUAGGGAAUCUUCCGCAAUGGGCGGAAGCCUGGCGGAGCAACGCCGCGUGAGUGAUGAAGGUCUUCGGAUCGUAAAACUCUGUUAUUAGGGAAGAACAUAUGUGUAAGUAACUGUGCACAUCUUGACGGUACCUAAUCAGAAAGCCACGGCUAACUACGUG